UUAAAGCAAAUAAAAAAUAAAUAAAAAGCCUACAUGAUCAAUUCCUGCUUUUGCUACUCUUAUGGAAAUAAGUAGACCAAGUUACUAAAACUAAUUUUUACCAACAAAUUUGUCUUAAUUUGGCUACCUCUGAAAAGGAGGGUAACUUCACAAAGGAAGAACUAUGGUUUUCCUCCAAUUUCUGGCUACAGCUCUUCACACUAACAUUUUCAAAUUUCUCCUGUUCUUUGGACUUGGAAUAAUUGAGAACUCAAAGUUCCUUUUUCUUUGAAGCCCUGCAAACUGAAUAUGAAUGACUUGAUGUAAACUUCAGAGAAGAUGCUGCAGCAGCUUGUAUACAGACGAUCUUUGUGCCAUUCUGUGUGGUGCUCAAAAAACUAACACAGACAUUCGAACUACAAAUGAAAGAAAAUGGCUCAUCUUGCUGGUACCUGCUUUGCUUACAUAAAGACGCUUCAAUCCUGGCAUCUACACAGGUGUUUUUAGACAGGGCUGGCUUCCACAGGCUUUGAGGGCCCCCACUGCCCAAGGCCAACAAGUCAGGUGCAUGUGGACGUGUGCAGGCCUGGCAGGCAGAGCUGGAAGAAUUUGGACUGCCUUCCCAGGCUUCGAUUGGGCAGGCUGGCUUUUGUACCCUCCAGUAAGAGACAUCUGGGAGCUUUGCUGGCUUCAGAAGCCUGGGACCCCAGCAAAUGAGGGCAGUACGUGUGGCGAUAUACCUGGACUUGAUUAUGGCUAUGUUGUUGAGUCUUCUGCCCCUCCCUAUCACCAUGGAGCUUCAGUGGAGUUCAAGUGCAGAGAAACAUUUAUAUUGAUUGGACACAGAUCAAUUUACAUGUGUUAGUGGAAUGUGGACCCAACUUCUUCAGUGUGUUGCAACAAAUGAACUUAAGAAGUGUAAAUCAUCACAGUUGUUUUCAUAUGAGGUGAUUGAAUUUGAUCAUAAUACCAAUAUGCAUUACAAAUGUAGAGGAAGAUCAGACUACAAGCACUUGAUCUGCGUAAAUGGAAGGUGGGAGCCUGAAAUAA
Long non-coding RNA from Hyaena hyaena (striped hyena), 1029 nucleotides. RefSeq lists it as uncharacterized. The record is from RefSeq and is a predicted model, not a curated record. NCBI's taxonomy places the organism in Eukaryota, Metazoa, Chordata, Mammalia, Carnivora, Hyaenidae. The transcript is spliced from 4 exons.